RNAcentral lists this ribosomal RNA (260 nucleotides) under uncultured bacterium. RNAcentral's name for it is "partial 16S ribosomal RNA". It matches the Rfam family "Bacterial small subunit ribosomal RNA", at positions 337 to 608 of the family's 1533-position model. The record is from RNAcentral.
ACCUACGGGGGGCAGCAGUCGAUAAUCCUUCACAAUUUUUUAAACCCUGAUGGUGCGACGCCGCGUGGGGGAAUGAAGGUCUUCGGAUUGUAAACCCCUGUCAUGUGGGAGCAAAUUAAAAAGAUAGUACCACAAGAGGAAGAGACGGCUAACUCUGUGCCAGCAGCCGCGGUAAUACAGAGGUCUCAAGCGUUGUUCGGUAUCACUGGGCGUAAAGCGUGCGUAGGCUGUUUCGUAAGUCGUGUGUGAAAGGCGCGGGC